UAGAGUUUGAUCAUGGCUCAGGACGAACGCUGGCGGCGUGCCUAAUACAUGCAAGUCGAACGCUUCUUUCCUCCCGAGUGCUUGCACUCAAUUGGAAAGAGGAGUGGCGGACGGGUGAGUAACACGUGGGUAACCUACCCAUCAGAGGGGGAUAACACUUGGAAACAGGUGCUAAUACCGCAUAACAGUUUAUGCCGCAUGGCAUAAGAGUGAAAGGCGCUUUCGGGUGUCGCUGAUGGAUGGACCCGCGGUGCAUUAGCUAGUUGGUGAGGUAACGGCUCACCAAGGCCACGAUGCAUAGCCGACCUGAGAGGGUGAUCGGCCACACUGGGACUGAGACACGGCCCAGACUCCUACGGGAGGCAGCAGUAGGGAAUCUUCGGCAAUGGACGAAAGUCUGACCGAGCAACGCCGCGUGAGUGAAGAAGGUUUUCGGAUCGUAAAACUUCUGUUGUUAGAGAAGAACCAAGGACCGUUAGUAACUGAACGUCCCCCCUGACGGUUCUACGAAGCCGA
RNAcentral lists this ribosomal RNA (516 nucleotides) under Enterococcus faecalis. RNAcentral's name for it is "bacterial SSU rRNA". It matches the Rfam family "Bacterial small subunit ribosomal RNA", at positions 1 to 494 of the family's 1533-position model. The record is from RNAcentral. Lineage: Bacteria; Bacillati; Bacillota; Bacilli; Lactobacillales; Enterococcaceae.